Molecule: unclassified non-coding RNA, 216 nt
Filed under: Hevea brasiliensis (rubber tree)
Lineage: Eukaryota; Viridiplantae; Streptophyta; Magnoliopsida; Malpighiales; Euphorbiaceae
Source: RNAcentral
UGUUGGGGCCUUAGAGAUGCUCCGAGUAAUGACGGCAAUUUACCCAUAUAUUAAUAAUCAACGAACACGCCAAUUGUAAAUUUGUAUUAGCUUCCUCGAGAAAAAGAAGAAGAAACAGUUUAGAAGCUGCUACGAAAAGGAAUGUCAGAAGGCGAACACGAAUUUCAGGAAGUCAGCAUCGUUCUUCCCUACUCUCAGGACUUUGUUUUAAUUUGG